This 366-nucleotide long non-coding RNA is filed under the name Ananas comosus (pineapple). RNAcentral describes it as "long non-coding RNA (ACOM_LNC024472)". The record is from RNAcentral. Lineage: Eukaryota; Viridiplantae; Streptophyta; Magnoliopsida; Poales; Bromeliaceae.
UAUUUAUUGUGUAUGUGAGAAAGAGAGAGAGAGAGAGAGAAUGAAGUGGGGAGGGUUGGAGGACAGGUGUCAACCUAAGGUUCCCCCAACCCUCCUUUAAUGUAAUAGAAAUAUAUAUAUAUAGAGUCCAGUUACUAUGCUAUUAAUAGCACGAAGCACUUGGUGCUAUCAAGUUUUCCGUCGUUAGAUCUACCCUUUUGAUCAUUUUCACCCGUUAGAUCAUACUAUUCAACCAACCAACCACCCACUCAACCCUAGGGGCCCCACAUCAUCCUAACCGCACAUCUUUCAAUCCAAUGGCUAAAAACUUGGUAGCACCAAUGACUUGGUGUUAUUAAUAGUAUAUUAGCCUAGUUAUAUAUAUAU